AUACGUAGGGUGCAAGCGUUAAUCGGAAUUACUGGGCGUAAAGCGUGCGCAGGCGGUUUUGUAAGACAGUGGUGAAAUCCCCGGGCUCAACCUGGGAACUGCCAUUGUGACUGCAAGGCUGGAGUGCGGCAGAGGGGGAUGGAAUUCCGCGUGUAGCGGUGAAAUGCGUAGAUAUGCGGAGGAACACCGAUGGCGAAGGCAAUCCCCUGGGCCUGCACUGACGCUCAUGCACGAAAGCGUGGGGAGCAAACAGGAUUAGAUACCCUGGUAGUCCACGCCCUAAACGAUGUCAACUGGUUGUUGGGGAUUUAUUUUCUCAGUAACGAAGCUAACGCGUGAAGUUGACCGCCUGGGGAGUACGGCCGCAAGGUUAAAACUCAAAGGAAUUGACGGGG
This 395-nucleotide ribosomal RNA is filed under the name uncultured bacterium. RNAcentral's name for it is "partial 16S ribosomal RNA". It matches the Rfam family "Bacterial small subunit ribosomal RNA", at positions 523 to 918 of the family's 1533-position model. The record is from RNAcentral.